GCUAUGGGAUAGUCAGCACCCUCAUUCCUUUAUUCUUUAUGGAUAAGUGCUCCUAAUCUGUGCACAGGUUGCCUUCCAUUAGUUUCACAGAAGGGAAUGGAUCUAUUCCAGACAAUUUCCCCAACAGCUAACUCCUUAUAAAGGACGAUGUGGAGAGGGCAAGAAAACAAACCACAUUCAUUGAUUAGCAUUAAAUGAAAAGUGGAGGAUGAAAAUGUUAUACAAGAGAAGCAACCCAGAGUCCAAGCAUAUAUGCGGUAAAAUUUUGGUUUAUCCAUGAAACCUUAGUUUCAGGUGCCAAGCAAUUACAUGAAAGGGGGAACAUGCUGCAUCCUUUGCUGAUUAAAUUCACAAAAUUGAAAUCCAAGAAAA
Molecule: long non-coding RNA, 372 nt
Organism: Vidua chalybeata
Lineage: Eukaryota; Metazoa; Chordata; Aves; Passeriformes; Viduidae
Exons: 2
Source: RefSeq, a predicted model, not a curated record